RNAcentral lists this long non-coding RNA (1688 nucleotides) under Salmo salar (Atlantic salmon). Its description in RNAcentral is "lncRNA (ENSSSAG00000083792.1)". Lineage: Eukaryota; Metazoa; Chordata; Actinopteri; Salmoniformes; Salmonidae. The record is from RNAcentral.
AGAGGAUCUCUGCUGUAACGUGACAUUUUCUAAGGCUCCCAUAGGCUCUCAGAAGGCGCCAGAACGGGGAAUGAUGACUCUGCAGUCCCUGGCUGAAAAACAGUAGCGCAUUUGGAAAGUGGUCGAUCUGAGAACAAUGACACGGGCGCGCGUGCACGUGAAGACACCAUUUUCUUCUUUCAGUCUUUGAACGAAAACAACGUCUCCCGGUCGGAAUAUUAUCGCUAUUUUACGAGAAAAAUCGCGUAAAAAUUGAUUUUAAACAGCGGUUGACAUGCUUCGAAGUACGGUAAUGGAAUAUUUAGACAUUUUUUGUCACGACAUGUGUCCGCGGUUGUUCGGAUAGGGACCUGAACGCACGGACAAAACAGAGGAUAUUUGAACAUAACUAUGGAUUAUUUUGAACCAAAACAACAUUUGUGGUUGAAGUAGAAGUCCUGGGAGUGCAUUCUGACGAAGAACAGCAAAGAUGCAGCAUCAACGGGUUGGGAGAUGGAAAGCUCAGGAGAAAGGAUGCAGCAGCCAAAUCCAGAGCCACUACAGUAGCAUCAAAUCCCACCAGGCUCCUCUGGGUUGACUUGCCCUGACCGAGUCUGCUACAGAAUCUAACUUUACAGAUUCAAACACCCAGAGACAGGACUCUCACAGGUGUCCGCACACAGGAAGUGAAUGCAGUAUGGAGGAACCGAGGUUGUGGUCGGGUUCCCCUGCUCAGACGUAACAUGCAUCAAAUAAUGGUUGAAUGCCACUUCAUUAACUGUUCUGUCAGGCACCAGAUUGCUGUAACAUAAGAUGUGGCUUACCUGAUACAUAAAAUACCUAUCCAGGCGUUGUAAGAGCAUGCAUCAGCAACACCUGGGCUGAGGAACGCACCCUUUGUCUCAGCAUGUAGUGCAGGGUUUCCCAAACUCGGUCCUGCCACAAACAGCCAGCAUACAGAGAAUUUGAGCACACCAUGGCAAAUGGUCUAUUUGGCUUGAAUGAUGCAACUGCUGGUUAAAUGUGUUUCCCAUUCAUCAUGAACAAGAUUAAAUGGCUACUGUAAAUAACAUUACAAUAAGUUGGGUCUAUAAAGAAUGAACCUUUAUUAUCCCUCAAAUUUUAAUCAGGGACUGAUUUAGACCUGGGACAGCAGGUGAGUGCAAUUCAUUAUCAGGUAGAACAUAAAACCAGCAGUACUCCGGACCUCGUAGGGUAAGAUUUGAAUACUCCUGCUAUAUUUGAUACAUUUUAUGGACCUUGCUGUGGACUUUCGAAAGCUAGAAAAGUAUUGCAUUUAGCUUACAAUAUAAUUGACAAGAUUUUAAGGGCUCUUGUAUUGUUACCCCUUUAUAAGGUGUAUUACUCUGAAAAACAAUAUAAUUAUACUGAAAUGAAAGGUGCAAUAUGCAGAAAUUGCUCUGCCAUUUCCUGGUUGCUAAAAUUCUAAUAGUUCACCUUUCAGUUUAUGUGACAAAACAAGCAAUGUAUAUUGUAGAGAAUCAUUAUACCAUCUAAACUGCUGUGAAAUAUAUUUUCAAAAACCCAAAAUAUUGUACUUUCAGCUGUUGGAAGAUGGUAUACAAAACCGAAAGUAAAAGAUGCAGAAAUUAAACUUAAGAAUGGGGAGCAUAGUAAUAGUGUCAGGGAUUUCUUCGUCGGAGGACGAUAUGGCGAAAUCAUCAUCGGAAAAUGAGGACCAAUAUGCA